GAGUUUGAUCGUGGCUCAGGACGAACGCUGGCGGCGUGCUUAACACAUGCAAGUCGAACGAGAAUCUACUGAAAGAGUUUUCGGACAAUGGAAGUAGAGGAAAGUGGCGGACGGGUGAGUAACGCGUGAGGAACCUGCCUUGAAGAGGGGGACAACAGUUGGAAACGACUGCUAAUACCGCAUGAUGCAUAAGGGUCGCAUGAUUCUUAUGCCAAAGAUUUAUCGCUUCAAGAUGGCCUCGCGUCUGAUUAGCUAGUUGGCGGGGUAACGGCCCACCAAGGCGACGAUCAGUAGCCGGACUGAGAGGUUGAACGGCCACAUUGGGACUGAGAUACGGCCCAGACUCCUACGGGAGGCAGCAGUGGGGAAUAUUGGGCAAUGGGCGCAAGCCUGACCCAGCAACGCCGCGUGAAGGAAGAAGGCUUUCGGUAUGUAAACUUCUAUCAGCAGGGAAGAAAAUGACGGUACCUGACUAAGAAGCCCGGCUAACUACGUGCCAGCAGCCGCCGU
Molecule: ribosomal RNA, 510 nt
Filed under: uncultured microorganism
Description: bacterial SSU rRNA
Rfam family: Bacterial small subunit ribosomal RNA
Source: RNAcentral